AGUGAACGCUGGCGGUAGGCCUAACACAUGCAAGUCGAACGGCAGCACAGUAAGAGCUUGCGCUUACGGGUGGCGAGUGGCGGACGGGUGAGGAAUACAUCGGAAUCUACUUUUUCGGGUGGGAUAAUGUAGGGAAACUUACGCUAAUACCGCAUACGUCCUACGGUGGAAAGCAGUGGAUCUUCGGACCUUGCGCGAUUGAAUGAGCCGAUGUCGGAUUGGCUGGUUGGCGGGGUAAAGGCCCACCAAGGGGACGAUCCGUAGCUGGUCUGAGUGGAUGGUAGGCCACCUUGGAACUGAAACAGGGACCAGACUACUAAGGGAGGCGGCAGUGGGGAACAUUGGACAAUGGGCGCAAACCUGAUCCAGCCAUACCGAGUGGGUGAAGAAGGCCUUCGGGUUGUAAAGACCUUUUGUUGGGAAAGAAAAGCAGCAGGUUAAUACCCCGCUGUUCUGACGGUACCCAAAGAAUAAGCACCGGCUAACUUCGUG
RNAcentral lists this ribosomal RNA (492 nucleotides) under uncultured bacterium. RNAcentral describes it as "partial 16S ribosomal RNA". It matches the Rfam family "Bacterial small subunit ribosomal RNA", at positions 29 to 507 of the family's 1533-position model. The record is from RNAcentral.